GAUGAACGCUGGCGGCGUGCCUAAUACAUGCAAGUCGAGCGAACGGACGAGAAGCUUGCUUCUCUGAUGUUAGCGGCGGACGGGUGAGUAACACGUGGAUAACCUACCUAUAAGACUGGGAUAACUUCGGGAAACCGGAGCUAAUACCGGAUGAUAUUUUGAACCGCAUGGUUCAAAAGUGAAAGACGGUCUUGCUGUCACUUAUAGAUGGAUCCGCGGUGCAUUAGCUAGUUGGUAAGGUAACGGCUUACCAAGGCAACGAUGCAUAGCCGACCUGAGAGGGUGAUCGGCCACACUGGAACUGAGACACGGUCCAGACUCCUACGGGAGGCAGCAGUAGGGAAUCUUCCGCAAUGGGCGAAAGCCUGACGGAGCAACGCCGCGUGAGUGAUGAAGGUCUUCGGAUCGUAAAACUCUGUUAUUAGGGAAGAACAUAUGUGUAAGUAACUGUGCACAUCUUGACGGUACCUAAUCAGAAAGCCACGGCUAACUACGUG
This 497-nucleotide ribosomal RNA is filed under the name uncultured bacterium. RNAcentral describes it as "partial 16S ribosomal RNA". It matches the Rfam family "Bacterial small subunit ribosomal RNA", at positions 28 to 507 of the family's 1533-position model. The record is from RNAcentral.